RNAcentral lists this ribosomal RNA (100 nucleotides) under Danio rerio (zebrafish). Lineage: Eukaryota; Metazoa; Chordata; Actinopteri; Cypriniformes; Danionidae. The record is from RNAcentral.
UCCUGCAGCCUAGACCCGCUACUCACUGAAACUAAGCAGGGCUGAGCCUGGUCAGUACCUAGAUGGGAGACCACAUGGGAAAACUAGGUUGCUGUUGGAA